RNAcentral lists this ribosomal RNA (462 nucleotides) under uncultured bacterium. RNAcentral's name for it is "partial 16S ribosomal RNA". It matches the Rfam family "Bacterial small subunit ribosomal RNA", at positions 28 to 507 of the family's 1533-position model. The record is from RNAcentral.
GACGAACGCUGGCAGCGUGCUUAACACAUGCAAGUCGAACGGUAAGGCCUUUCGGGGUACACGAGUGGCGAACGGGUGAGUAACACGUGGGUGAUCUGCCCUGCACUUCGGGAUAAGCCCGGGAAACUGGGUCUAAUACCGGAUAGGACUGCGCGGUGCAUGCCGUGUGGUGGAAAGAUUUAUCGGUGCAGGAUGGGCCCGCGGCCUAUCAGCUUGUUGGUGGGGUAAUGGCCUACCAAGGCGACGACGGGUAGCCGGCCUGAGAGGGCGACCGGCCACACUGGGACUGAGACACGGCCCAGACUCCUACGGGAGGCAGCAGUGGGGAAUAUUGCACAAUGGGCGCAAGCCUGAUGCAGCGACGCCGCGUGAGGGAUGACGGCCUUCGGGUUGUAAACCUCUUUCAGCAGGGACGAAGCGUGAGUGACGGUACCUGCAGAAGAAGCACCGGCCAACUACGUG